GCCAAACAGUGUUGUAAUUAAUAUAGUUUCUGUGUGUUUAUUUGGAUCUGGGCAGCCGGGAAACGAAUGAGCAGUCUCUGUUUACACAGUGUUAUUUCCGUCCACAUAGUUGCCGUUCAGGGUCAUCUUGCCGUCUUGGCAGAAUUUUGUUUUUCUCAAGAAGAGAACUGCUCCCUUGAGCUUCCUGAAGGAGGCGUGGUCUUUGGUAUGAGGGUAGGCCUAAUGGACGUGUCGGAUGGUCAGUCAAGCCCGGUAAAUAGCAUUCACAUCUUUGCAUCCUAAAUUUUGCUCUGACAGGCCUCUUUAGCAUCCUGCUUGUACAGGCUGUAUCAUGGAAGUGGUGCUCCCUUAGCUGAAUUCUACUUUGUGUGUGUCUUAGUUAGGGUUUCUGUUGCUGUGAAGGGGCACAAUGACCCCAGCAACAUUAAGGCUGGCUUACAGUUCAGAGGUUUAGUCCAUUAUCGUCACAGUGGGAAGCGUGGUGGCAUACAGGCAGACAUGGUGCUAGAGAAGGAGUGGAGAGUUCUACAUCCUGAUCUGCAGGGAGCGGAAAAAGAACUGAGUCUCUGAGCCUGGACUUGAGCAUCUGAGACCUCAGAUCCCAGGCCGUGUCUUCAGUAAUUCUUUCUGCAAGUUUUGGUAACUGAUUUUUUUCUUUAAUUGAAUUGCCACUGUCAGAUGAAAGCAGCACAUUUCCCUAAAUUCUUAGCAUCACUGUUGGUGCAUUACCAAUAGGGAAAUAAUAGCAGCCCUGUUAACUGGUAUAGCCUGUUCCUGUUCUUUUUGUUCUGUCGGGGUAUAGUUUAAACCAUUAACUAUUUGACAGGUCGCCCAACUGUUGUAUACAUCCUUAUUAUUAUAGACAGCCAGGCUGGGGAGACCUAUUGCAGAGACGGUGAUGGCCACAGUCUCAGGUUUUGAGACAAGAGCGAUUUUAUUAUUAGUAUCCAGUCAGGGGCUCACUCUCUGAUAUCAGUGUCUUAUCAGGCUGUUUUUUUCCUGGACUGCUGGAAAAAUAAUAGUCUCCUUAAAUAUCGGUGGGCAUUGUGAGACAAGUUAACAGGAAUAUAGUUAUAGGUGGAUUAUUCACAAGUGAAAAGCCAUCCUUCAGGCAAAGAAAUAUGGCUGGCCCAUAGAGGAUGCCCUUGGUGUGGGAACAAUUUUAUUUGUCUCUUGGGAAUGUGUAACAUUUCUGGGUUCAGUUUUAUAUUUUAGCACACAUGCCGUUUGGAUGUCCUGUAACACAGAAAGUACGGGGUUCUACUGUGUCUAGUGUUUGCCAUUAAAAACUCUUCCCCAGUUGUAAGAAUCUUUAUAACAGACAGGCUUUGGGAUACCUGUUGAAGAGUUAACCUGGCUAGGCUAGCAAUAUCCUGACAAGUUUACAAAUGGGUAUAAGACAAAUGCCUAACAUAUGUUCAGCCUUUAACUUCUCUUUUAGACAGAAGUCAGUAGCACUUAGACUGCGAGCUAAUUUUAUCUAGGUGCUAUAAUGGAAAUGCUGUCCUAGCUACAGGUUUUAUUUCUACUUCUUUAAGCCCUAGAAUUGGACAGUCAAGGCAGAGAAGACGUAGUGAAAAGGUGAGUCGGGUUUGACAGUACUCAGGUAUUUUUGUGUCUUACAUGGACCUUGUGGACCCGGCUCCACCUCUGGGAGCCGGGUGAAUUUCACCUUGAAAGGAUGUUCUGAAUGAAUCACGGUCCACUCGCUGGCCAGGAAUGUCUGCUGCUCCCUUGAGCUGAGUGUGGUGAAUCCAGGAGUAAUCCCAGCAACAUUGACAACCAUGGCUGUGAUGAUGUGACCUUCAUCUGCCCCAUGUGCAUCAUUCUCCAUUCACCCCGAUAAACUGACAGGGUGGCACCCUUUCUGUUCCCAGGAAUGAAUCAGAGUGAGCUGUGUGGUUUCCAGAGCUGUAAAGGAAUGAUGGAGAUUUUAAUACUACACUCUCAGUAAAGGACAGAACACAGAGAAGAUGAGGACAAGUGGACAUCACACAAUAAACUAGCAAGAUCUAAUAGGCAUGUGGAGAUGUUCUCCAACCAAGAUAUGUUCAUUCUUCUCAAGGGCAAAUGAGAUGUUUUCCCGGAUAGAUUGUAAGUUGUGUGACCUGCUGGGAUGGCUGACGUUAUGUUUUAAGUUUAAAUUCCUGUGCUUAAGAGAUCUAUAGAACACAAAUGCCUCUAACCUGUAAGUCCCACUUGCCCAAGGACAGAUAACUUCCCGGGAUGCUGGGGGUUGCUCUUCAUGGAAGGUUACGAGUUACGUGACUUUGCUUCUGUAUAAACGCUUGGUUGCCGCAACUGCACAAGGCAUGCUUGAUUACAUGUACCCAGGAGGUACAUAGGCAGGAAGUAUGUCAAGAUGUGUGCCUGCCCCUAACUGGAUAAAGGAGAGAAGUACACAGCCUUGUGAGUUUUGUGGGUUUUGCCUUUAUAAGCCUCUAACUAAUUGGCAGCCAAGUACUGGGAACCUCAGGUGUGGACCUGGUUAGUGUCAAUAGUCCUGGCCAUUUAAUAAAGCUUCCAACCUGGCUCAGAGGGAACUGCUGUACUGAGAAAGAGAUGGAGGAGAGUCACGUGGUCGCUAUUUAAAACAUGUUUUCCUAAACAAGAGUUGAACCACAUGUGCACUAGUUGUAGCAAAUACAAUUUUACAUUUUCAACAUUAUACAAAAGUCCAUCCAAAAUGACGUGGAGACCUGUUGUCGUCUCUUCGGUAGGUUCAUUUCACCUGGUCACCUUUAAUCAAGAUGGUGGUGAAAUCAUAGGCCAUUUGUCUUCUCCAGCCCUAGCAAAGAUGGCAACCAGCCCUGUGGCUGCCUAAUGAUGUCGGCAAGUCAUGUGUUGCUUAUAUCCCAAAAUGAAAUCAUGCCACGUGGUUCCUUUAAAUUAUCUACACAUAGAUUUUUCACUAUCAACGCCCUGUUGUCGCAAGUUUUAAAUUGAGCUUUUUUGUUACAGAUUUUACAGUUUUUUAACCAAAAACAUUUGGUGGCUACCACCGUUCAUACAUUCAACUGAGCCUAAUCAAGUUCUGUCUAGGUUUCCAUGUUUGCAUACCAGAAAACACAUACCCAUACGCAUAUGCAAAACAGACAGACAAAGCAUUGUGACACUUAACUGGGCCUAACCGAUUUCUGUCCUAGCUUCCAGUAUCCAAACAAUUAGAACCAAGGGAGGGGGGCCAAUGUCUUGCUUUUUUGCCCUGGGCGGGAAGAUGUUGGGUCCCAUCAAACCCCUUCUCGUGCCAGAUUGGAAUCCCAGCAGAACCAGACGUCACAGAAAAUGACCAUGACUUACUAUGGGAGGUCUUCGUAGACACUUGCUGUUUUGCCAGACCAGCAGUUCAUUCUUUGUCUGCAGAACUGAAAGCCAGCCUUGAAACCUUGGUCCGUCUCAAGGGGCACACCUCCCAAGGUGGCCCUUCAGCCCCAGAGUCCCAGAGAGAUCUUCUGGCUUUAGAUUUGGGGGAAUGGUCUGAUCUUACUGAAAGCUGCCAGAAAAUGUUAGUCCCAUUGGGUGAGAAGAAGACCUCUCCCAAAAUUUUUGAGCCAGAUUUGAAACAAGCUUUAUUAAAUGGCCAAGACUAUGGAUUACAGUCAUGACCAAGUGGAAUUUGUUUCUGGGAUGCAAGGAUGGUUUGACAUAGAAUAUUGAUAACAUAAUAUGCUGAAUUAAUAGGAUGAGGGGGAAAUGAUAAUUUUAACUAGACAAAAGUGUCUGAUAAAAUUCAGUUCUUUUUCAUGAUUAGAAAUGCUCACUAAACUAUAAGUAGAAGGCAACCACUUAGCAUAAGAAGUGCCAUUUAUGUAAAACAGGCAAACACCACACUCAAUAAUGAAAGACCAAAAGUCUUCCAUUAAAAUCAAGAACAAGACAAGGAUACCUGUUUGUGCUUGUUGUAUUUAAAUAUCACUGCAAGACCUGACCAGAACAAUUAGGAAAGAAAAACGAAAAAUGGAUCUAAGUUGGAAAGCAAGAAGUAAAAAUUUCAUCUGUUUACAAAUAUUCUUUUAUACAUUAAAAGUUCUACAUUUUACCCACUCCCACCCCCACAAAGUUCCAUUAGAGCAUUCCAUUAGAGUUAUUUUACUAGUCUGGUAAAAUAACAGAGUCCAAAUUCUACACAUAGAAAACAGCUGAACUUUUAUACAACAUACGCCAACAAUGAAUGUGGCUUGUUUUAUGUCAAGUUGAGACUAGACAGAGUUAUCUGAAGGGAAGGAAUCUCAAUUGAGAGAAUAGCCUCCAUAAGAUCUGGCUACAGUGUAUUUUCUUAAUUACUGAUU
Myodes glareolus (Bank vole) is the source of this 4289-nucleotide non-coding RNA. Lineage: Eukaryota; Metazoa; Chordata; Mammalia; Rodentia; Cricetidae. The record is from RefSeq and is a predicted model, not a curated record.